ACCGUGUCUUGAGAGGUCGCCAUUGACGAAGCAUGGCUGCUGCCAUGAAGCUGUGCUAUUAUUACGGUUAUUUUCAUUGUGGGAUGACAUAAAAUACGCCAAUCACCACCACCACUACUGUCACCACUAUCGCGAUCACCACCAUCAUCGCAGUUGUAACAACCUUAUUACUUUAUGAUGAUAGAAAUAAAAUGGUGCAUUGCC
Molecule: long non-coding RNA, 204 nt
Organism: Patella vulgata (common limpet)
Lineage: Eukaryota; Metazoa; Mollusca; Gastropoda; Patellidae
Exons: 2
Source: RefSeq, a predicted model, not a curated record